This is a long non-coding RNA of Dioscorea cayenensis subsp. rotundata (Guinea yam), 669 nucleotides long. RefSeq lists it as uncharacterized. NCBI's taxonomy places the organism in Eukaryota, Viridiplantae, Streptophyta, Magnoliopsida, Dioscoreales, Dioscoreaceae. The record is from RefSeq and is a predicted model, not a curated record. The transcript has 3 exons.
UCUUGGUUAAGUGGUUUCUUAGUGGAAGUCUUGUUUAAAUUGCAAACCUUCUUCUUCAAGGCUUUCAUCUUCUCCUUCAAAACAACUUUGCCUUCCUUCUUCUAAACUUCUAGCGAUUGAAAAAUCAACCCUCCACCGACAAUUCCUUGGCAAUCUUAUAGGAGAAGAUUAAGCUUAGGUUUGGCGGGUUGUCCUGGGUCUUAUUUCUGUAGUUGUUGUCUGAUUGCUAUAAUUGAACUUUGAGGUUUUAGACCUUGCAAUUGCUUCCUGUGAGUGAGAUUUGUAUUCUAUUUGUAUUCCUGGUUUCGGUCUAUUAAGUGUGGUACUGUAUUUCUGUAGGGCUGCUAAAGCCCAUACUUGUAUUAUAUUUAUUGCUAUUAUCUUGUUUGUAUUUCUGUACUAUUAUUUCUAGUUUGUCUGUUGGUGUUAACUCUGACUAGGUCUGAAAUUUGAGGCCUUGUACCCAAUGGAGCCCAACCCUUUUAAAUGUGGCUGAUUUGUCAGUGGGCUCGGCUUUGGAGUUGGGACGUGACAGUUCCGCCCCUCGUUAUGAAAGGCGACAAGCGCGAGGAGCCGCGCUCACCACCGAACCGUGCUCUUACUUUGCGCGAGAUAGGGAUCGAAUUCGGGGAGCCACACUCGACACUCGAGGUGAACAUCUUAUGUAGG